ACUGCUCAGUAACACGUGGACAACCUGCCCUUUAGGUUGGGUAUAAACCCGGGAAACUGGGUAUAAUACCCGAUAGGUCUCGAUUGCUGGAAUGCAUCGAGAUUUAAAGCUCCGGCGCCUAAGGAUGGGUCUGCGGCCUAUCAGGUAGUAGUGGGUGUAGCGUACCUACUAGCCUACGACGGGUACGGGUUGUGAGAGCAAGAGCCCGGAGAUGGAUUCUGAGACACGAAUCCAGGCCCUACGGGGUGCAGCAGGCGCGAAAACUUUACAAUGCUGGCAACAGCGAUAAGGGAACCUCGAGUGCCAGGUUACAAAUCUGGCUGUCGAGAUGCCUAAAAAGCAUUUCAUAGCAAGGGCCGGGCAAGACCGGUGCCAGCCGCCGCGGUAACACCGGCGGCUCGAGUGGUAACCGUUAUUAUUGGGUCUAAAGGGUCUGUAGCCGGCCGGAUAAGUCUCUUGAGAAAUCUGGCAGCUUAACUGUCAGGCUUUCAGGAGAUACUGUCUGGCUCGAGGCCGGGUGAGGUGAGAGGUACUUCAGGGGUAGGGGUGAAAUCUUGUAAUCCUUGAAGGACCACCAGUGGCGAAGGCGUCUCACCAGAACGGACCUGACGGCAAGGGACGAAAGCUAGGGGCACGAACCGGAUUAGAUACCCGGGUAGUCCUAGCCGUAAACGAUACUCGCUAGGUGUCGGCCACGGUGCGACCGUUGUCGGUGCCGUAGGGAAGCCGUGAAGCGAGCCACCUGGGAAGUACGGCCGCAAGGCUGAAACUUAAAGGAAUUGGCGGGGGAGCAC
This 794-nucleotide ribosomal RNA is filed under the name uncultured archaeon. RNAcentral's name for it is "bacterial SSU rRNA". It matches the Rfam family "Archaeal small subunit ribosomal RNA", at positions 85 to 879 of the family's 1478-position model. The record is from RNAcentral.